GACAGAGGCCCCAAGCGUUAAGCGGAAUCACUGGGCUUAAAGCGUGUGUAGGCGGAUCGUUAAGUGUCUUGUGAAAUCCCACGGCUCACCCGUGGAACUGCUGGGCAUACUGGCGAUCUUGGGCCAACUAGGGGCAGUCGGAACAAGCGGUGGAGCGGUGAAAUGCGUAGAUAUCUGGAGGAACACCGGUGGCGAAGGCGGCAUCCUGGACCAAUAUUGACGCUGAGGAGCGAAAGCUAGGGGAGCAAACGGG
RNAcentral lists this ribosomal RNA (253 nucleotides) under uncultured bacterium. RNAcentral describes it as "partial 16S ribosomal RNA". It matches the Rfam family "Bacterial small subunit ribosomal RNA", at positions 524 to 776 of the family's 1533-position model. The record is from RNAcentral.